GAUGAACGCUGACAGAAUGCUUAACACAUGCAAGUCUUUGGCGAAGCUGUGCUUGCACAGCCUAGCCAAGGCGGACGGGUGAGUAACGCGUAAGGAACUUGCCCUGCAGUUAGGGAUAACAGACGGAAACGACUGAUAAGACCUGGUAAAGUCAGGCGGACUCAUGUCCAGCCUGAUGAAAAGUGAUGCUGCAGGAGAGCCUUGCGUCCUAUUAGCUUGUUGGUGGGGUAACGGCCCACCAAGGCGAUGAUAGGUAGCCGGCCUGAGAGGGUGGACGGCCACAAGGGGACUGAGAUACGGCCCUUACUCCUACGGGAGGCAGCAGUGGGGAAUAUUGGACAAUGGGGGCAACCCUGAUCCAGCAAUUCUGUGUGCACGAUGAAGGUUUUCGGAUUGUAAAGUGCUUUCAGCAGGGAAGAAAAAAAUGACGGUACCUGCAGAAGAAGCGACGGCUAAAUACGUG
RNAcentral lists this ribosomal RNA (463 nucleotides) under uncultured bacterium. RNAcentral describes it as "partial 16S ribosomal RNA". It matches the Rfam family "Bacterial small subunit ribosomal RNA", at positions 28 to 507 of the family's 1533-position model. The record is from RNAcentral.